AAUGUAAAAUAUAUAAAUAAAUGUUAAAUAAGUUAGACUACUGGUAUUAGAUAUAAAUAUUAAUUUUAUAAUAUUGAGUAUUCACAUAUAAAUUAUACAUUAAAAAAUAAAAUAAAAUUGAUGCAGUUUAAGUUAAUUUUAUAUUUGACGAAAAUUAAUUGCAAGAAUCACAAACAAUGAUUUCUCUUCUCAUUCACUAACUACUGGGGGACUACAAUACCUAGUAAAAUUAUUUCACUAACUAAUAGGGGACUAUUAUGCCUACUAAAAUUUUUUGAUAUACUUAUUGCAUCAUUUAAAUUCUGAAAUUAAUUUUUAUAACUAAAUUUUAAAAUUAAAUUUUAAAAUAACUACCAGUAGUAUCGCGCGGGUCCCUUAACUAGUUUUAAUUAAUAAGUUGAAACGUAGGGCCGGCAUAAAUGGAAUUAAUUAAUGAUGGAGUAGAAUGUUGGGGGUCUCCAACGUUCUAUUCACAGCCCUUUUACACUGCCUCUUACGCUGUUCAUGAAAUACGGACAUUGGAGAGAGAGAGAAGAAAAAAGAGAAGAAGUAUUUUUAAUUUUCUAUUCUAUUCAAUUUUUUAAUUUUUUUUUAUCAUCGGGUGUUGAAAGAGUCUUCGUCGCGCAUUCGUGCUCUUCCGCAUUCGUGCUCGUAGGAGGAGGAAUUCCGGUCGUAUCUUGGGACGGUGUUUCCGAUUAAUGCCGCAUGAAGGACGGAAAUACACCUUAGGGCAAUGUCUCGCACGCUUCCGGAGCAAAUUAAUCUUGAAUUUCCUCUUAUAUAAUUUAUUUUGAAAUUAAGCAAUCAUCUGUAAGUCUGAUUUUAUCUUUACCAUAAAAUUAGUUAGAUCUUUAAUUACAAUCAGAUUUCUGUAUGGUAUUUGUUCUACCAUUUUCUUCUUCAGCUCGA
Molecule: long non-coding RNA, 909 nt
Filed under: Ananas comosus (pineapple)
Lineage: Eukaryota; Viridiplantae; Streptophyta; Magnoliopsida; Poales; Bromeliaceae
Description: long non-coding RNA (ACOM_LNC021130)
Source: RNAcentral